UAUUCGGAAUUUUGGUGGUUUUUUUAUAUGAAAGCGGCAAGAGUAUUGUCGAAUAUAUUAGAAGGCAGAAAAAUAUAAUACAAGCAUUACACAUUGUCUAUUACAAUUUUGGCAAGGACAUGCAAUUUAGGAAUUUUGGUGUUGAUCUGUAGCACGCUGUUUCUGAAUGAUCACGCUUACUCCCAGUUUGGUCUGAAUGCGGAUCUCUCAGCGCGGUAAAUUUCCUUGAAUUUCAUCAGGCUGGAUAGUUCAACCAGGAAGUUCUGGAAUGGCUCCCCAUUGUCAGGACUCAUAAUCAUACCAUGGAAAGCCAAUGUGAUCCGUCGGAGUGAUGUGGCUGACCUAAGUAGGCUUCUCAAAAACACAAAUUCAAUCUUUGUUCGAUUCCUCUCAUGCUUUUGAUUGUUAUGUCCACAAGAAAAUUCAGCUGGAUAUCUUCAGUUCUCCACAGAUGCAAUCAAAUGGGCAAUCAAUAAUCUUAGCCUGAAAUGAGGAUAAUAUGUAAAGACUAGGUUGAAAUGGCGGUCAGGCCGAAAUGAAAGAUUAAGAGAAGUAGAAAUGUGAGUUAGAGAUAAAUUGCUAGAGUAUAAUUUGACCAUUAAACUUAUGAACAAAAAAUGCAGAAUGGUUUCGUCAUCCUUGGGGAAACCUCAUAUUAGGAAAAACAAAUUUACCUCCGGGUCACCACUUAUUGCCAACUCCAGCCUACUUAUUCUUGUACACACAUCUUGAGCAGAUAAAAUACACAUGAUCCAAAGGCAUGCCCUUGCAACAUAAUUUCUAGGGUCAGGGUCUCAAUAUCGGGAAGAAAGCCAAUCAUCUCCAUCAGGUUUUUAUUAAUAAUUCAGCAACACAUGCAGCCUUUGGAUUUGAUGAAUUUCGGGAGGAUUUUUUUUACAAAGAUUGAAUUAAUUCAUGAGAAAAUAGUGUAAAAUUUCAUAGGAUUUUCAUCGACAUUAGUUCGAUUCUCACAGAACAAACACUGAAAAUUCCUCCAUUCAUUCCAAAGAAGGUUUUAUUCUGGGAUAAGGGAGAACAAGCGUCCAUGGCAUCAGCCACACAAAGAAGUUUAAUGGCAAAAAUGGGGGUAAAAAAUAAUUGGAUGUUUAGCAGAAGCGAACAAUUCCCAUUCAACACACCAUCUGAAAAACGGAGUUGUUGUCAACUGUAGCAUAGGAAGAGUCCUAGACAGAUGCUGAAAAAACCAAAAACUUGGGUUUUGUUUCCCCCUCCAUUGGCCUAUCCAGCGAUCAAAAUUGAGCUAUGGAAAAAAAUGCUCACCUAUACUGUCCGCGCGAGGGAGGCGUGGGAGGGGCAGCGAGCAGCGAGCUAUCGGCCGCGUUCAUGGAUAAGGUUGAGGCCUUGUCUCUCUCUGAUGGGCUGCGCAAUAUGGCUCAACGAAG
This 1403-nucleotide long non-coding RNA is filed under the name Oryza sativa (Asian cultivated rice). Its description in RNAcentral is "long non-coding RNA (OSAT_LNC001309)". The record is from RNAcentral. Lineage: Eukaryota; Viridiplantae; Streptophyta; Magnoliopsida; Poales; Poaceae.